RNAcentral lists this ribosomal RNA (532 nucleotides) under uncultured eukaryote. RNAcentral's name for it is "SSU rRNA". It matches the Rfam family "Eukaryotic small subunit ribosomal RNA", at positions 22 to 548 of the family's 1831-position model. The record is from RNAcentral.
AGUCAUAUGCUUGUCUCAAAGAUUAAGCCAUGCAUGUCUAAGUAUAAACAACUUUAUACUGUGAAACUGCGAACGGCUCAUUAUAUCAGCAAUAAUUUAUUUGAUGGUUCCUUACUACACGGAUAACUGUAGUAAUUCUAGAGCUAAUACGUGCGUAAAAUCCCGACUCUUGCGGGGAGGGAUGUAUUUAUUAGAUAAAAAGCCAGCGCGGGUUCUGCCCGGUUUUGUGGUGAAUCAUAGUAACUUUUCGAAUCGCAUGGCUUCACGCCGGCGAUAGUUCAUUCAAAUUUCUGCCCUAUCAGCUUUCGACGGUAGUGUAGUGGACUACCGUGGCGUUAACGGGUAACGGAGAAUUAGGGUUCGAUUCCGGAGAGGGAGCCUGAGAAACGGCUACCACAUCCAAGGAAGGCAGCAGGCGCGCAAAUUACCCAAUUCUGACACAGAGAGGUAGUGACAAAAAAUAACAAUACCUGGCUUCUUUAGGUCGGGUAAUUGGAAUGAGUACAAUUUAAAUCCCUUAACGAGGAUCCAU